AUGUCCACCCCAGCUGCUCGAUCUCGCCAAUCGGAGGAUGGACGCAUCAGGUCCUCCUCUUCGUCUCCCAGCGGCAGCGAGACGGCGGCCAAGAGACUCACCGACGACCUCCUCGUCGAGAUCCUCUCGCGCGUGCCCACCAAGUCGCUCUGCCGCUUCAAGUGCGUCUCCAAGCACUGGCUCGGCCUCACCAACGACCGCAACUACCGCCGGAAGCUCCCCCAGACCUUGACCGGCUUCUACCAGGGGAAUCAUUUGGUAGAUUCAGCUCUCCCCUUCACCAAUGUCUCGGGGAGCCGCCAUCUCACAUAUCCCGCCUUCCUGUCCAACCGCCGGCGGGUCAAGGUCAUGGACUGCUGUAACGUCCUCCUUCUCUGCUCCUCAUACGUUGCCGGCGACCAUGGCGACGAGUUCCGGUACAUCGUGUGCAAUCCCGCCACAGAGGAAUGGGCCGAGUUCCCAUACUGCGGCUAUUCCGGCCUGUCGGCCGUGUCCCCUCAUUUCCAUGUGUUUUUAUUGCCGGCGGCGGGUAUGGAGGACCAACAUGGCGUCUGUCUUACCGGAGUGUAUGUCUAUUCAUCUGAAACCGGGAGUUGCGUUCAUAAGGAGAAGAGAUGGAGCCGCAGUAUUGUUGUCGCUAAUGAUCGGUCGACUAUCUAUCUUAAUGGUUAUCUGCAUUUCUGCGCCAUUGUUGAUGGUUCUGCCGGUUGUCUAGCUGCAGUGGAUAAGGAGGGGGGAGCAAGGACUAACUUUCGUGUUCCUGGUCUGGAUGUUGGUUUUAUUCAGCUGUCACAGGGCUGCCUGCAUUAUGCUGGUUUUGACACAGAUGAUGAUAAUGUCGUUCGACUGCUAGUUUAUGUUCUUAAAGACUAUGACCGCAAAGAGUGGAUACUGAAGCAUAGCGUCGAAACUUCACAUUUGCUUGGAGGGCGACACAUAGAUUACCUUGAUGAGGACUUCGAUUGGAUUGCAAUUCAUCCAGAAUGUGACUUGAUCUUAUUUGUUGUGGCCCAGGAGGAUAUCACAUUCAUGUGCUAUGAUAUGGAUAGUGGACAAGUUAAUGUGCUCUGCAAUCUUGAAGAUAGCCAGCAGGCAUAUUUUCCGUAUGUGCCACUAUAUGAAGAGUUACAAUCGUUGCACAAGUGA
Molecule: ribosomal RNA, 1146 nt
Filed under: Triticum aestivum (bread wheat)
Lineage: Eukaryota; Viridiplantae; Streptophyta; Magnoliopsida; Poales; Poaceae
Description: partial small subunit ribosomal RNA
Source: RNAcentral